RNAcentral lists this ribosomal RNA (471 nucleotides) under uncultured bacterium. RNAcentral describes it as "partial 16S ribosomal RNA". It matches the Rfam family "Bacterial small subunit ribosomal RNA", at positions 29 to 507 of the family's 1533-position model. The record is from RNAcentral.
ACGAACGCUGGCGGCGUGCUUAACACAUGCAAGUCGAACGCUGAAGCUUGGUGCUUGCACUGGGUGGAUGAGUGGCGAACGGGUGAGUAAUACGUGAGUAACCUGCCCUUGACUCUGGGAUAAGCCUGGGAAACUGGGUCUAAUACUGGAUACGACAUGUCACCGCAUGGUGGUGUGUGGAAAGGGUUUUACUGGUUUUGGAUGGGCUCACGGCCUAUCAGCUUGUUGGUGGGGUAAUGGCUCACCAAGGCGACGACGGGUAGCCGGCCUGAGAGGGUGACCGGCCACACUGGGACUGAGACACGGCCCAGACUCCUACGGGAGGCAGCAGUGGGGAAUAUUGCACAAUGGGCGGAAGCUUGAUGCAGCGACGCCGCGUGAGGGAUGACGGCCUUCGGGUUGUAAACCUCUUUCAGCACGGAAGAAGCGAAAGUGACGGUACGUGCAGAAGAAGCGCCGGCUAACUACGUG